UAGAUCGGGAUUUUGUUUCUAUUUUAUUAUUAUUAGUAUUCCGAUCCCGGUGUGAUUUAUUCUAUUACUUUGGUAACGCCCACUUUAUACGAUAGCCAAUAACGUUAUUGACAGUUGUCUAUUGUUCUGUCCCAUAUAUAAAGCCGUGUAAGUCCUUAUUUGACGAAGGAGACGGCUGGUUUCGCUAGCUACUUUUCUCCUGAAGCAAGCAGAGAGGGGGAGGGAGACAGCUGGUUUCGCUAGCUACUUUUCUCCUGAGUCCCGACCCGUCUCGUCUGUCUAUUUGAGGUCCCUGUUAAAGUUAGGUUUUAGGGUUGGGGGAUUUUAAGUAUAUGCUAUUGACUUGUGUUCUUAUUUUGUUAUAAUAAAUUUAUAAAGGGUUGUUAAUCUUGGUUUUCAUUUACUUUGAGUUUUGGUUUAUUAUAUCUGGUUUAUCUAUAUCGAGAGUAAAGUCGUUUUCAUACCUUAUUUAUAAUUUAGUAAAGUUUAAUUCUUAAUGUAGAGGUCAAAUUCGGUCUCAAAACAAAAAUAAACACAACGCGAAGUACUGAUAAAAAACCUAUACGGCACUGACCUGCUACAUUAUUUGGUGAACCGUGACCAGGAUAGGGUUUGUACUACAAUGGUCAGUGGCACGUGCUACUCACUUUGAGAGCCCUAUUCAGUGAUUCGGACUUGGCUGAAUUCUUUUGUUGUCAGUUUCUAUUGUAUUGUGGGUUUUUUUUUAUUUCUUUAGCUGUGUAAUGGAUUUAUGGGUUUGAGAAUUCAUGUUGUUCGUGAAUUGAAAUAUUCAGUAGAUUAUUUUUGUACUUGAAAUUUUACGCUGCAUUUUUUCAUCAUGCAGUUAUGUUUAGAGAUGAUAGAGAAUUUUUGCGUCAGAGAAAUUAUCCCCCAGCACAUGUUCAGACCGGAAAUGGUGUCCGUUGUGAAAGUUUGGACCAUGUAUUCACCAAUUUUAUUGCAGUUUAUCCAGACACCAGGUUGACCAAUGUGAGAUUUGGAAAUGGACUGGAAUCUGAUACAUUCAACUCCAUAUAUUUCAAGUGUCUGAUCGCCUUCAUAAUAUCCGAUGUUAUACCGGUAUCCACUGUGUUCAUUCUGGAAUCAGCGAUAUCCGUGAAGUUUGUGAUUAUCGUGUGUAAAUGUUGCGUUGUUCCCUUAGUAUUAUAUUCCGGAAUGUGUUCCAAUUCGUGAUUGCUGAGGACCAUGGAGACUGGUACGGUGAAGCCACGGUGAACUUAGCAAUGUGACAUAUUCCCCUGAUUGUGUUAUAUUUUGCUUAUUUUGUAUGUAUGUUUUUGAGGGAAAUUUGAUUGAAAUGCACCACUUGAUUUUAAUCAAAUGCAUAGCAUUUGUCAUUAAGGGGGGAGGAAUGUGGUAGAUCGGGAUUUUGUUUCUAUUUUAUUAUUAUUAGUAUUCCGAUCCCGGUGUGAUUUAUUCUAUUACUUUGGUAACGCCCACUUUAUACGAUAGCCAAUAACGUUAUUGACAGUUGUCUAUUGUUCUGUCCCAUAUAUAAAGCCGUGUAAGUCCUUAUUUGACGAAGGAGACGGCUGGUUUCGCUAGCUACUUUUCUCCUGAAGCAAGCAGAGAGGGGGAGGGAGACAGCUGGUUUCGCUAGCUACUUUUCUCCUGAGUCCCGACCCGUCUCGUCUGUCUAUUUGAGGUCCCUGUUAAAGUUAGGUUUUAGGGUUGGGGGAUUUUAAGUAUAUGCUAUUGACUUGUGUUCUUAUUUUGUUAUAAUAAAUUUAUAAAGGGUU
Long non-coding RNA from Magallana angulata, 1760 nucleotides. RefSeq lists it as uncharacterized. The record is from RefSeq and is a predicted model, not a curated record. The transcript has 2 exons. NCBI's taxonomy places the organism in Eukaryota, Metazoa, Mollusca, Bivalvia, Ostreida, Ostreidae.